This 81-nucleotide non-coding RNA is filed under the name Candidatus Omnitrophota bacterium. Its description in RNAcentral is "Omnitrophica WOR c-di-GMP sequence". It matches the Rfam family "c-di-GMP-I riboswitch aptamer". Rfam says of the family: GEMM was predicted in a large-scale screen for bacterial structured RNA regulatory elements. The record is from RNAcentral. Lineage: Bacteria; Pseudomonadati; Candidatus Omnitrophota.
CGAAGUUCAAGGCGAAAGCACUUGAACGAAGCCAUGGGCAAAGCCACGGGCCUUAUGUUUUUUGGUAGCCGGGCUGCCGAA